Long non-coding RNA from Mirounga angustirostris (Northern elephant seal), 4677 nucleotides. RefSeq lists it as uncharacterized. The transcript is spliced from 2 exons. Lineage: Eukaryota; Metazoa; Chordata; Mammalia; Carnivora; Phocidae. The record is from RefSeq and is a predicted model, not a curated record.
GCUUGGUGGCAGGGCUGGGGUUGGGGUCCCAGAGAAAGGCCCAGGGCCAAUGGGAUGAGGGGAGCCUUCCUUGUGGCUGUCCCUGGAGCAGCGGGCCGUGUCCUCACCAGGGUCCCCGCCAGGAGGGAUACAUGGGCAUUUUGCAGGGCCAGUAAGGGAUGGCAUUUCCGGGGCCAGCAUCACAGAGGUCUUCUGGAAGCCCCAAGGCCCAGGUGGGAAGGGCUGGGUGUGGCCAGUGAUUGGAGAAGAGCCAGGUGAGCGGUGGCAGGGACCAGGUGAGCUGUCACUUGUGCACCUGCAGUGUUGGGGAGCUUGCUGCUUCUCGGCAGACGGAGCUCCCCUCCAGGCAGCUUGGGUUUUGAGCAAGUGCUUCCCUCAGUUGAGCUCAAGUCUCCUUCCCUACAAUGUCCCCCACUGAACAUCGGUGACCUGGCCAGGCAGCCCACAGAGAUCGAAGCCAGUGAUGCCACCUUGGAGACCACUGUCCCUACUGAGGUCCAGCAUUAGCCGAAGUCCCUCCUAAUGAUAAUACCACACUUAUGGAGGGCUUGCUGUGUGCUAGGUUCUGUUAGAGGCCUACUAAGAGCCGGGAAUGGGGCUCAACAUCUUCCAUGUAUGAAGCCUCCCAAGGGCCUAUCUGUCAGAGUCUGUUAUUGCCCCCGCUUUUCAGAGGAGGAAACUGAGGCAGGCCUAGAGAGGUGAAGUCCCAUGCCCAAGGCCAGAGUUCGCACUAGAUUCUGGGAGGCCCCAAGCUAGGCUGUCACCUGGCUCCCCAGCAGAUCUGUGUCCUGGCAGCAUUUGGCCUGCCCAGGCUGGUGGCCACACCUGGCUGGUGUGGCCUCAGGUCCUGAUAGCGAUUUAGUGGCGUCAGCUCAGUAAACUUGUGGCUGGGCUGCUCCUGAAACUGUUGAGUUGCUCGGCGUUUGUGUGGUGAUAAGAUGGUGCCCAGACCACCAAUAUCGAGGGGGGCCUGCUCCCCACCGCCCUGCCUGCCACCAGGACUGUGGGCCUCGAUAAUCCCCAAACUGAGAUAGUGCCAGACACACGUUAUAUGGUUUCCAAAGCCAUUGUAAUUUUUUUCACGUUUGGUAACGAUACGGAACAUAAGAUUGCCCUCUGUAAGCUCAUUUUGUUUGUUCUGAUGACCGGUCACUGGGUGACUGGGAUUCGCCCCCACUCCCCCCAAAUCACUCAACAACGGGCCGGAGUCCGAGAAAAGCCCCCUGCCAAGUGCCAGGUCUGUGGGAAACAGAUGUGUAGACAGCCAGCCAGGAUCUGGGUAAUGGGUGCUCUCUUGGGGAGUGCAGGACAGGGGUAUGGCAGCUGCUGUGGGAUUAGACAGGGCUUCCAGGAGGAAGCAACAACAGUAAGAUGGCCAGGAGUGAAGGAGGUGGUAGAGAAGAGCUGAGGACAGAGUGAACCACAGGCAGGUGAGUGGACCGUGGUUAGGGUCAAGGUGUUCACCACGGCGGGAGCUUAUAGUUCACCUUGGGGCAGGGCUGGGGAGAUGCAAAGGCCCUGCCACUAUUUUAAGGAGUUUGGUCUUUCUGCUGUGGACAGUGAGAGUCAUUGGAGGGUUUUUAGGGCCAUGGUGGGAUGGCAGUGUAACUCACGUCAUCCUAGAGCUCAUGACAACAGACCCUUCUGUCGCUCUCCGUCUCCUCCGGAGGACUCAGCCUGUGGAGCAUCUGGCUUUUAAUCCAAGAAGCCAGGCUGCAAGCCCCAGGCCUGUCAGGCACAUCUGUUUGAGGGGGUGGUAGAGAGAGCUGGGAUUCAGGAGACUGGGGCUCCAGCCUUGGCUACGUCACUGACCAGCACCUCAUAUAGUACCUGGCACGUGGAGGGGGCUCCUUCCCCUCACUCUUCCACACCCACACAAUUCUGGAGCUCAGGGACUCAGUGAAGAAUCACAGUGUCAGAAUCUGGCCCAGGGCCCGGCAGAUAGCAAAUAACCGUUUGCUGAAUGCGUGAGAGCAAGAACGCACUGCUAGGUGGCCUCGACCCAGCAGGUGCGAAUGCGGGCUCUGGAGCUGGACGGUCUGCAGACUGGAGUCUGCCUUCCCACCUUACAGCAGCAGGACCUUGGGCCACUUCUCUAGGCCUUGGUUUUCCACAGGAAAUAUGGGGACGAUAAUAGUACCUCCCUCACAGGGGGUUUGCGAGGAUCCGGUGGGGCAGAGCGGGCCAAUAUUGAGUGCGGGGCUGCCCAGAGUGACUGCUCAUCCUACAGUAGCUCUGCUUGUUGUUACUCGUAUGUUAUUAUCUUUCUAUAUAUGCACACACACACACAUAUAUAUACACACACAUUAUUUAUACACAUACACACACACAUUAUAUAACAAUAAUAUCUUGUUGUUAUUAUAUGUUAUUAUCUUUGGCCUCCGGGUCUCCCCUGUAAAUACCCUCCUCUUACCAAGCAUGCUGUAGUUUUCAGAACAUCUUCACAUCGGCCCAAUAAUUUGAUCCCCAAAGGUUAUUGCUACCAGGUAGCUGAGGCAGGGGCCAUGAAUCUCUUUUCAGAGGGGGCCACUGAGGCCCAGCCCGAUGGAGCUGGGCCUCCCCACCAGGAGCUCCUGGCCUCCCUGCCCCAGGGGCCCAUGAUCCCCCCCCAGACCCUACUCUGUGACAUGGAAGGCACCUUCCUCUCCAAGUAGGCCCCCCCGCCGGGAAUCGGAUCCAUAGCCUGACAGCCCCCCCCACCAAACAGUCCUGGCCAGGUGCCUGCUCGGUGCCCAGCUUGUGUUGGGUAUUGAUGAUGCAAAGAGAAAGCAGACCCGACUUCUGCCCUUGAGCCACUCCCAAGCCAGGGGAGGCAGAGGUGGGCAUCGGCAGGCUGAUGGGAUUGGCAAUGGGGGGCACACGGGGCUGGGGAGGGAAAGGGGCGUUAGUGAAAGGCUCUCGGUGUCCAGCCAGACAGAGACGGCGGUGAAGGGCAUCCCAGGCAGAGGGCACCGCACAAGCAAAGCCCUGGGGCCAGAAAUACGAGCUGGCGGCGGGCGCGUGGGUGGCAGCUGUCUCAGCAACCAGCCCCAGCCCUCCCAACCUGUGGCCGCCGUCUUCCAACCCUGGCCCGCAGAAACGGCUUUCCCGUCCACCCCUGCAUAGCCUCCGCAUCCUCAGAUUUCCUGUGGGUGGGCAGCAGAUGAGCUGUGGCAGCCAAGAGGCUCAGGGAAGAAAGGUCCAUGGCAGACAGAUGAGGGGACCAUUGGGCAGAGGCUCUAUCUCGCUGGGUCCCCAAAGGGCAGGCCGGAGCCUGGAUUCCAGGAGGGGGCCCGGGGUCACAUCCUGACCCGCGGAGACAGGAAACUGGCCUGGUGUCUCAGCGAUUCCCGUCAGACUGACUGCACGGGUCUGCUGUCUUCCUUACAAGCCCCAGGCAGCCGGGCCAGAGCUGGGGCAGCCGCUGAUUCACCCUACUUCUGGGCAAACCCGGGGAGCUGAGGACACCCCACCCACCUCCAAGCAGAUGGAAGUUGCUGGGCUCUUGCACUGACUCAUUCCUGACCAGAGGGGCAGGCAAGGCGGCUCAGGCAGAGAGGAAGAGCAGGAGGGGCCCGGGGCUCCCCCAGACUGUCCUAGGAGGCUGUGAAGGGCUCUGGAGGAUUCUGGCAGGUCGGCUGUACCGGGUCUUUCCCAACACCACCGAGAUGGGUCUCCCUCUGCUCAGGUUAAUUUCAGGUAGUCUGCCAAUUAUACUUCAAUUUUUAUUUAUUUAUUUUUUUUAAAGAUUUUUAAUUUAUUUAUGAGAGAGAGAGAGAGGGAGUGAGCACACAAACAGGGGAAGCGGCAGGCAGAGGGAGAAGCAGAUUCCCUGCUAAGCAAGGAGCCCGAUGCGGGACUCAAUCCCAGGACCCUGGGAUCAUGACCCAAGCCGAAGGCAGACGCUUAACCGACUGUGCCACCCAGGCAUCCCUAUACUUCAGUUUUUAAAUAAAUUAAUGAAUUAAAUGAAAACUUCAGAUAAUGAUCAUAAUCCUGGAACAAAACGUCAGUUGUGACAUUUAGCUUUGUAUUUCAUGUUUUACCAAAAUAUAUUAAAUCCAGUAUUUAAUUUUUAAUGUGUUUAGAAUGCAUAAAUAUUUCAUUUUUUUUUUAAGUUGUAUUUAUUCAAGUAACCUCUACACAAAACAUGGGACUCCAACUCAUGGCCCUGAGAUCUAGAGUUGCACACUCCUCCGGCCAAACAGCCAGAUACCCCUCAGAUGCAUAAAUGUUAUUAAAAUUGAUUUAAGAGGCGCCUGGGUGGCUCAGUCGUUAAGUAUCUGCCUUCAGCUCAGAUCAUGAUCCCAGGGUCCUGGGUUCGAGCCCCACAUCGGGCUCCCUGCUCAGCGGGAAGCCUGCUUCUCCCUCUCUCACUCCCCCUGCUUGUGUUCCCUCUCUCACUGUGUCUCUCUCUGUCAAAUGAAUAAAUAAAAUCUUAAAAAAAAAAAAAAAUAAAUAUAAAAAUUGAUUUAAAAAGAUGUUUCGAAAACCAAAAGGUCAGGCGCCUGGGUGGCUCAGUUGGUUGAGCAACUGCCUUCGGCUCAGGUCAUGAUCCUGGAGUCCCUGGAUCGGGUCCCGCAUUGGGCUCCCUGCUUGGCAGGGAGUCUGCUUUGCCCUCUGACCCUCCCCCCUCUCAUGUGCUCUCUCUCUCUCUCAAAUAAAUAAAUAAAAUCUUAAAAAAAAAUAAAACCAAAA